GGUGGCAAAGCCUAGGAAAGAGCUAUGGCUGUUGAGCUUCUUCGAUCGCCGUGCCCACAGAGGACCGAGAUGGAGAUUUCUUGCGGAGGCGGGCAACAGUUGCAGCAUCCUGCUCUUAUCCGGCUGCUGUCUGUGGGCCAAGCUGGUACCCAGCCAUGGAGGCUGCUGUGUUCUCCCCAGAGGUGCGUCUGCCCUACCUCACCAACCUCUACUUCUAGGUCGCCUCGCCGCACGGAGCUAUCGAGCACAGCGUUCAUCAUCCGAAUGGUCUUAUCGAUCGGUGACUGACAUGGUACUUUCAUGUGCUCGAGCGCUGUUGAAGCUCCCGAGUUGACCCAGCCAUGGCGGAGAUCCCCCGUUCGUUCAUCCAUCCAUUCGCUCGCUCCUCACCGGGCCUUCCCGGCGGGUAGGUCCUGCUCAUCCCUUUCAGAUGGACCAGGCAGCCGAAAGCAGCGCCUGGUUUCUUUAACAUGGCGGCCUUCAAGGGGAUCACAUCGAGAGGACUGGGGGGAUCUUGGUUGGGAGCCGGAGCAUUACAUCACGAUCGGAGAAGAUCCAUCUAAUCCCGGCUUCUUCAGCCCAACCCUAACCCUAACCCUAACCCUAACCCUAAACCUAAUCCCCACCGGCCUAAUUUAGCCCAUCCGGGCACCCGUC
RNAcentral lists this long non-coding RNA (657 nucleotides) under Spirodela polyrhiza (greater duckweed). RNAcentral's name for it is "long non-coding RNA (SPOL_LNC000952)". Lineage: Eukaryota; Viridiplantae; Streptophyta; Magnoliopsida; Alismatales; Araceae. The record is from RNAcentral.